GCUGUGGUAGUUUGGUGUUAGACUUCUUGUCUUUCAUUCAGGAGACCUGAGUUUGAUUCCCAGCCAAGGCG
RNAcentral lists this transfer RNA (71 nucleotides) under Loxodonta africana (African savanna elephant). It matches the Rfam family "tRNA". Rfam says of the family: Transfer RNA (tRNA) molecules are approximately 80 nucleotides in length. Their secondary structure includes four short double-helical elements and three loops (D, anti-codon, and T loops). Further hydrogen bonds mediate the characteristic L-shaped molecular structure. tRNAs have two regions of fundamental functional importance: the anti-codon, which is responsible for specific mRNA codon recognition, and the 3' end, to which the tRNAs corresponding amino acid is attached (by aminoacyl-tRNA synthetases). tRNAs cope with the degeneracy of the genetic code in two manners: having more than one tRNA (with a specific anti-codon) for a particular amino acid; and 'wobble' base-pairing, i.e. permitting non-standard base-pairing at the 3rd anti-codon position. The record is from Rfam by way of RNAcentral. Lineage: Eukaryota; Metazoa; Chordata; Mammalia; Proboscidea; Elephantidae.